Prunus dulcis (almond) is the source of this 1051-nucleotide long non-coding RNA. RefSeq lists it as uncharacterized. NCBI's taxonomy places the organism in Eukaryota, Viridiplantae, Streptophyta, Magnoliopsida, Rosales, Rosaceae. The record is from RefSeq and is a predicted model, not a curated record. The transcript is spliced from 2 exons.
UCUCCUUCGAUUGUCCAUGGCCUCUAUUAGAUCGCGCCUUUUAUGUUCUUUUUUUGAAUAUAAAUCAUCAUUCUUUGUGUGUAAAAUAUAAUCAAAGCAUGUCAAAAAGGCUUUCUUUUUUCAGAGGAUUUGCAUGAAGACUAAUUAAUUCAACUAUUGAUUUGACAGUGUUUAUAUGAUUGCAAAUUAUUUUUGCUAGAAUUUUUGGUUUAUUGGUAUAGGAAAUCUCGAUUCAAUGGGAUCAAGCUCUGAUGCAUGUGUUUUCUGAUUGAGUAGUUUUCUUUUUGCUGAAACCUUCUGUGUAUUUUCUGAUAAUUUUGGACAGAUGAGAAAUUGUUUUCCUCUUCAGACAUAUCUGGUAGCACAGUUAGAGACUUGUUUUCAUUUGCUAUGUAUGAAAGGGCAACCUAUAAUUUUAGGAAGAAACGAAAAUAAUUAAAACCAUCAGCACAUAAUUUUAGUCAUGUAAAAUUGAUCCAGGUCCGGGGGGUCGCUGUUCUUGUUGUAGAUGAAAUGCAACUUGCUCAGCAGCUGUGCUUGGGCUAUCAAAAUUAGACUUUUGAUAUGUCAGCUUUCGUUAGAUGAAAUCCAUCUUAAAUUUUGAUGUGCAGGCAUCCAUUUCGAUUGUUCUCCUUGCCAAUUUUCUUUAAAUUUCAACCAAUCGAUAGCUUCACGCUCGCACAUGCAUACGUGCUUCAUUGCCGGAGAUCUUAGGAGGGAUUUAUGUGGAUAUUGUUUGAAGUUUUUGAUAUUAAAAACUCCUCUGACUGACUUAGAGAUUACUGGACCAUUUGAUUGGCUGAGGAAGACCUUUUUGGAGAAGCCGGAGCCUGAAGACAAGUGAAAAUGGAAUUGAGCAUUCUGGUAAAACUCUGUUUGAUGAGACUGAUGACCAUAUGGGAAAUGUUGUUUUGAUGAGACUACAAUGGACAGAGUUUAUGCGAAUAAUAAUCGUGUAGUUUUCGUACUUGAUUUAAUUGUUAAUUACAUGCAAACCCUUUCUUUGCACUAAUUCCUGGUUCUUGUUUAUGCCAUUCCUGCAAUUUUACUC